GUCUUAAACAUGAUUCAAGAUGAGAAAUUCUGGAGAAAUGUUCAAAACAGCAUCUAUUAUGUAAAAUGUGGUAUACCUUUUUAAACUUUUUUUUUUUUUUUGGUCUUUUGGAGCAGAUGUUUCUCUGCCCUAAGCUAGGAGUCCCCUUCCUGUCUCCUUCCUUUGCUGAGCCUGAACACAAGCACGCCUCCAGGCGCUGUUAUUAGGAACACAUGUUCUGCACUGGGAACCACACUGCUGAGACCCCCACCUCCUGCAGGGAUUGAUGAUAGAUUUACAGCUGAAUUUACUGCAGCAUGUUCGGAGAGAACCUCAGAUAAUUGCAUUAUCUCUUCUCAGAGUGAAAUGUCACCAGGAAAAGACAAAAGGACAAAAGGACAAGAGCAAAUGAAAAGCAGCACAAGGUCCAAGGUAUACAAGGAACAAGUCACAAGCAAGCAUGUUCGGCAACACCAAAAAAAUCUAACCGGGGCAGGCAUCAGGUGAAUAUCAUAACCAGUGACAGUCAGGACACACAAGGAUAACAAGGUUCAUUUUGCACGUCAGCUGCCAUCUGGUCUCGCAGUAAUUACUCAGUGGCUGCAGUGGACAGCAGUGGAACCCCGGCACUCAGAUCUUCUGGCUCUGAGAUUCUAGGCUGCUCCCUGAAGCUGCAAGCAGGGUACAGUGAUACCCACUCAAUAAACACUUAUUAGGGUGCUUGUAGAUGCAUGCAUGCUGAGGGCUGACCUCAGCGCCCUGCAGUGAGCAAAUCUUGUCAUGAAAGGCAGCUAAGUCAACAUGGGUAAAUAAAUAUGCAAACACCUUUGCUUGAACUUUUUCUUAAACUUACCUAAAUUAUAACUUUAUAAAUAAAAAGACAUUUUAAGCAUCUCUUGAAUAAAAGUAC
This 889-nucleotide long non-coding RNA is filed under the name Chinchilla lanigera (long-tailed chinchilla). RNAcentral's name for it is "lncRNA (ENSCLAG00000023145.1)". Lineage: Eukaryota; Metazoa; Chordata; Mammalia; Rodentia; Chinchillidae. The record is from RNAcentral.